RNAcentral lists this ribosomal RNA (468 nucleotides) under uncultured bacterium. RNAcentral describes it as "partial 16S ribosomal RNA". It matches the Rfam family "Bacterial small subunit ribosomal RNA", at positions 28 to 507 of the family's 1533-position model. The record is from RNAcentral.
GACGAACGCUGGCGGCGUGCUUAACACAUGCAAGUCGAACGGAAAGGCCCUGCUUUCGUGGGUUGCUCGAGUGGCGAACGGGAGUGUAACACGUGAGUAACCUGCCCUUCACUUUGGGAACACUUCAGGAAACUUGGGCUAAUACUGGAUAGGUGCUCCUGCUGAUUGUAGGGGGUUGGAAAGUUUCGGCGGUUGGGAAUGGACUCGCGGCGUAUCAGCUUGUUGGUGGGGUAUUGGCUUACCAAGGCUUUGACGGGUAGCCGGCCUGAGAGGGGGACCGGCGACAUUGGGACUGAGAUACGGCGCAGACUCCUACGGGAGGCAGCAGUGGGGAAUAUUGCACAAUGGGCGGAAGCCUGAGGCAGCAACGCCGCGUGCGGGAUGACGGCCUUCGGGUUGUAAACCGCUUUCGCCUGUGACGAAGCGUGAGUGACGGUAAUGGGUAAAGAAGCACCGGCUAACUACGUG